AGUGGGGAAUAUUGGACAAUGGACCAAAGUCUGAUCCAGCAAUUCUGUGUGCACGAUGACGGUCUUAGGAUUGUAAAGUGCUUUCAAUCGGGAAAAAGAAAGUGAUGGUACCGAUAGAAGAAGCGACGGCUAAAUACGUGCCAGCAGCCGCGGUAAUACGUAUGUCGCAAGCGUUAUCCGGAUUUAUUGGGCGUAAAGCGCGUCUAGGCGGUUUGGUAAGUCUGAUGUGGAAAUGCGGGGCUCAACUCCGUAUUGCGUUGGAAACUGCCAGACUAGAGUACUGGAGAGGUGGGCGGAACUACAAGUGUAGAGGUGAAAUUCGUAGAUAUUUGUAGGAAUGCCGAUAGAGAAGUCAGCUCACUGGACAGAUACUGACACUGAAGCGCGAAAGCAUGGGGA
RNAcentral lists this ribosomal RNA (399 nucleotides) under uncultured bacterium. Its description in RNAcentral is "bacterial SSU rRNA". It matches the Rfam family "Bacterial small subunit ribosomal RNA", at positions 353 to 767 of the family's 1533-position model. The record is from RNAcentral.